CUUCCCGACCCAAUUCGAUAUCCCCUCCACCAUCCCUUAACACCCAGCCCCAUCGAAAAACCUAGCCCUCACCUUCUUCAAUUAACCAAGCCGCACCAUCACCACCACCACUGUCACUUGCAAAGCACCUACAAUGAAUGCCGGGGUUGACAUUGGGAUGAGAUUGGUGACCGGGUUCGCCAAAGGAGGGCGCGGAGCCUAACUGCUACUCUCUCCCCCAAAAUUCGAAGAGCCUGAAACUCCAGAUUUGUUGUCUUCAUUGCCAGUGCCAUGACACCAUCUUCAUCAAGGCCAUGUUACAAUCUUUGUUAAGGCCACGCCACCGUCUUCGUCAAGACUACACCACCGCAACCUACAAACGCAACUUGCAGCUAAUGCGACGUGACUCGUCGCCUUCGUCGUCAUUCGACUCGAAUAACGAGAAAUCGUAGUGGCCCAAAUCUAUGUAGCCAAGAUUUUCAGAAUUUCUGGGAGGGAGAUGGGUGUAUGGAGGUUGAUCUAAGAUAUGAUUAUUUUUUGCUUAGAUGCUUUUAAGCUUUGUUUGGGUGCUGAGAAAAUUUCUGAACUUCCGGAAAGUUUUGAUUUUUUAUUUCCUCUAUUGUAACAUACUCUUUCAUGGGUCCCAUCAAUAGCCACGUUGGAUGCCAAUUUCAUAUCAAUUGUUGUCAUUUGUAUGAAAUUACUUGAGUACCCUUGCCACAUCAGCUGAGUUAACGAUUUUUCGUUGAAAAUUCACAGCAUAGGGCAACCUUAGUAACGAAAUGGAAGUUUAGG
This 774-nucleotide long non-coding RNA is filed under the name Prunus dulcis (almond). RNAcentral's name for it is "sRNA ncRNA". The record is from RNAcentral. Lineage: Eukaryota; Viridiplantae; Streptophyta; Magnoliopsida; Rosales; Rosaceae.